GAUGAACGCUGGCGGCGUGCCUAACACAUGCAAGUCGAACGGAGUUUUAUGAAGUUUUCGGACGGAUUAAAACUUAGUGGCGGACGGGUGAGUAACGCGUGGGUAACCUGCCUCAUACAGGGGGAUAACAGUUGGAAACGGCUGCUAAAACCGCAUAAGCAUACACUGUCGCAUGACAGAGUGUGAAAAUAUUUAUAGGUAUGAGAUGGACCCGCGUCUGAUUAGCUAGUUGGUAAGGUAACGGCCUACCAAGGCGACGAUCAGUAGCCGGCUUGAGAGAGCGAUCGGCCACAUUGGGACUGAGACACGGCCCAAACUCCUACGGGAGGCAGCAGUGGGGAAUAUUGCACAAUGGGCGAAAGCCUGAUGCAGCGACGCCGCGUGAGUGAAGAAGUAUUUCGGUAUGUAAAGCUCUAUCAGCAGGGAAGAAAAUGACGGUACCUGACUAAGAAGCCCCGGCUAACUACGUGCCAGCAGCCGCAGUAAGAC
RNAcentral lists this ribosomal RNA (489 nucleotides) under uncultured bacterium. RNAcentral describes it as "bacterial SSU rRNA". It matches the Rfam family "Bacterial small subunit ribosomal RNA", at positions 28 to 526 of the family's 1533-position model. The record is from RNAcentral.